CGCGGGGUGGAGCAGCUCGGUAGCUCGUCGGGCUCAUAACCCGAAGGUCGUAGGUUCAAAUCCUACCCCCGCAACCA
RNAcentral lists this transfer RNA (77 nucleotides) under Paenibacillus radicis (ex Gao et al. 2016). Its description in RNAcentral is "tRNA-Met". It matches the Rfam family "tRNA". From Rfam's summary of the family: Transfer RNA (tRNA) molecules are approximately 80 nucleotides in length. Their secondary structure includes four short double-helical elements and three loops (D, anti-codon, and T loops). Further hydrogen bonds mediate the characteristic L-shaped molecular structure. tRNAs have two regions of fundamental functional importance: the anti-codon, which is responsible for specific mRNA codon recognition, and the 3' end, to which the tRNAs corresponding amino acid is attached (by aminoacyl-tRNA synthetases). tRNAs cope with the degeneracy of the genetic code in two manners: having more than one tRNA (with a specific anti-codon) for a particular amino acid; and 'wobble' base-pairing, i.e. permitting non-standard base-pairing at the 3rd anti-codon position. Lineage: Bacteria; Bacillati; Bacillota; Bacilli; Caryophanales; Paenibacillaceae. RNAcentral also lists the same sequence under 2 other names. The record is from RNAcentral.